RNAcentral lists this unclassified non-coding RNA (343 nucleotides) under soil metagenome. Its description in RNAcentral is "partial contains 5.8S ribosomal RNA, internal transcribed spacer 2, and large subunit ribosomal RNA". The stretch from base 1 to 120 matches the Rfam family "5.8S ribosomal RNA", at positions 35 to 154 of the family's 154-position model. The record is from RNAcentral.
GAUGAAGAACGUAGCGAAAUGCGAUAAGUAAUGUGAAUUGCAGAAUUCAGUGAAUCAUCGAAUCUUUGAACGCACAUUGCGCCCGCUAGUAUUCUGGCGGGCAUGCCUGUCCGAGCGUCAUUUCAACCCUCAAGCCCCCGGGCUUGGUGUUGGGGAUCGGCGAGCCUCCGCGCCCGCCGUCCCCUAAAUCUAGUGGCGGUCUCGCUGUAGCUUCCUCUGCGUAGUAGCACACCUCGCACUGGGAAACAGCGCGGCCACGCCGUUAAACCCCCAACUUCUGAACGUUUGACCUCGGAUCUGGUAGGAAUACCCGCUGAACUUAAGCAUAUCAAUAAGCGGAGGA